RNAcentral lists this microRNA precursor (74 nucleotides) under Bombyx mori (domestic silkworm). RNAcentral describes it as "mir-2807 microRNA precursor family". It matches the Rfam family "mir-2807 microRNA precursor family". Lineage: Eukaryota; Metazoa; Arthropoda; Insecta; Lepidoptera; Bombycidae. The record is from Rfam by way of RNAcentral.
UUAAUUGAAAUUUGUAUGGAGUUGGAACGUUUACCGCUAGAGGCGCUGUUCCAAGUGCAUAGAAAUUUGAGUUA